ACAGCGAAACUGCGAAUGGCUCAUUAAAUCAGUUAUCGUUUAUUUGAUAGUACCUUACUACUUGGAUAACCGUGGUAAUUCUAGAGCUAAUACAUGCUAAAAACCCCGACUCACGAAGGGGUGUAUUUAUUAGAUUAAAAACCAAUGCCCUUCGGGGCUCUUUGGUGAUUCAUAAUAACUUUUCGAAUCGCAUGGCCUUGCGCCGGCGAUGGUUCAUUCAAAUUUCUGCCCUAUCAACUUUCGAUGGCAGGGUCUUGGCCUGCCAUGGUUACAACGGGUAACGGAGGGUUAGGGCUCGACCCCGGAGAAGGAGCCUGAGAAACGGCUACUACAUCCAAGGAAGGCAGCAGGCGCGCAAAUUACCCAAUCCCGAUUCGGGGAGGUAGUGACAAUAAAUACUGAUACAGGGCUCUUUUGGGUCUUGUAAUUGGAAUGAGUACAAUUUAAAUCCCUUAACGAGGAACAAUUGGAGGGCAAGUCUGGUGCCAGCAGCCGCGGUAAUUCCAGCUCCAAUAGCGUAUAUUAAAGUUGUUGCAGUUAAAAAGCUCGUAGUUGAACCUUGGGCCUGGCUGGCCGGUCCGCCUCACCGCGUGCACUGGUUCGGCCGGGCCUUUCCCUCUGGGGAACCCUAUGGUCUUCACUGAUCGUAGCGGGGAACCAGGACUUUUACUGUGAAAAAAUUAGAGUGUUCAAAGCAGGCCUAUGCUCGAAUACAUUAGCAUGGAAUAAUAAAAUAGGACGUGUGGUUCUAUUUUGUUGGUUUCUAGGACCGCCGUAAUGAUUAAUAGGGACAGUCGGGGGCAUCAGUAUUCAAUUGUCAGAGGUGAAAUUCUUGGAUUUAUUGAAGACUAACUACUGCGAAAGCAUUUGCCAAGGAUGUUUUCAUUAAUCAGGAACGAAAGUUAGGGGAUCGAAGACGAUCAGAUACCGUCGUAGUCUUAACCAUAAACUAUGCCGACUAGGGAUCGGACGGUGUUAUUUUUUGACCCGUUCGGCACCUUAC
This 1003-nucleotide ribosomal RNA is filed under the name Hyalotiella spartii. RNAcentral's name for it is "SSU rRNA". It matches the Rfam family "Eukaryotic small subunit ribosomal RNA", at positions 78 to 1091 of the family's 1831-position model. The record is from RNAcentral. Lineage: Eukaryota; Fungi; Ascomycota; Sordariomycetes; Amphisphaeriales; Sporocadaceae.